RNAcentral lists this transfer RNA (62 nucleotides) under Ictidomys tridecemlineatus (thirteen-lined ground squirrel). RNAcentral describes it as "Spermophilus tridecemlineatus (thirteen-lined ground squirrel) tRNA". It matches the Rfam family "tRNA", at positions 1 to 62 of the family's 71-position model. From Rfam's summary of the family: Transfer RNA (tRNA) molecules are approximately 80 nucleotides in length. Their secondary structure includes four short double-helical elements and three loops (D, anti-codon, and T loops). The record is from Rfam by way of RNAcentral. Lineage: Eukaryota; Metazoa; Chordata; Mammalia; Rodentia; Sciuridae.
GGAGUUGUAGCUCAGUGGUAGAGCGCUUGCCUUGCAUGCAGGAGAUACUGGGUUCAAUCCUA